This 400-nucleotide ribosomal RNA is filed under the name uncultured bacterium. RNAcentral describes it as "bacterial SSU rRNA". It matches the Rfam family "Bacterial small subunit ribosomal RNA", at positions 355 to 745 of the family's 1533-position model. The record is from RNAcentral.
CCAAGAAUCUUCCGCAAUGGGGGGAAACCCUGACGGAGCGACGCCGCGUGAGGGAUGAAGGUCUUCGGAUUGUAAACCUCUUUUGUUUCGGGAAGAGUAAGGGUGUCAGGAAAUGGGCAUCCGAUGACGGUACCGCAUGAAUAAGCCCCGGCUAAUUACGUGCCAGCAGCCGCGGUAAUACGUAAGGGGCUAGCGUUGCUCGGAAUUACUGGGCGUAAAGGGCGUGUAGGCGGGCUUGUAAGUCGAAUGUAAAAAACCCAGGGCUUAACCCUGGGGCUGCGUUCGAAACUGCGAGUCUUGAGUCUGGUGGAGGGUAAUGGAAUUCCCGGUGUAGCGGUGAAAUGCGUAGAGAUCGGGAAGAACACCGAAGGCGAAGGCAGUUACCAUGCCGAGACUGACG